RNAcentral lists this ribosomal RNA (520 nucleotides) under Bifidobacterium longum. Its description in RNAcentral is "bacterial SSU rRNA". It matches the Rfam family "Bacterial small subunit ribosomal RNA", at positions 163 to 698 of the family's 1533-position model. RNAcentral also lists the same sequence under 1 other name. The record is from RNAcentral. Lineage: Bacteria; Bacillati; Actinomycetota; Actinomycetes; Bifidobacteriales; Bifidobacteriaceae.
GUAAUGCCGGAUGCUCCAGUUGAUCGCAUGGUCUUCUGGGAAAGCUUUCGCGGUAUGGGAUGGGGUCGCGUCCUAUCAGCUUGACGGCGGGGUAACGGCCCACCGUGGCUUCGACGGGUAGCCGGCCUGAGAGGGCGACCGGCCACAUUGGGACUGAGAUACGGCCCAGACUCCUACGGGAGGCAGCAGUGGGGAAUAUUGCACAAUGGGCGCAAGCCUGAUGCAGCGACGCCGCGUGAGGGAUGGAGGCCUUCGGGUUGUAAACCUCUUUUAUCGGGGAGCAAGCGAGAGUGAGUUUACCCGUUGAAUAAGCACCGGCUAACUACGUGCCAGCAGCCGCGGUAAUACGUAGGGUGCAAGCGUUAUCCGGAAUUAUUGGGCGUAAAGGGCUCGUAGGCGGUUCGUCGCGUCCGGUGUGAAAGUCCAUCGCUUAACGGUGGAUCCGCGCCGGGUACGGGCGGGCUUGAGUGCGGUAGGGGAGACUGGAAUUCCCGGUGUAACGGUGGAAUGUGUAGAUAUC